UACGUAGGUCCCGAGCGUUGUCCGGAUUUAUUGGGCGUAAAGCGAGCGCAGGUGGUUUAUUAAGUCUGGUGUAAAAGGCAGUGGCUCAACCAUUGUAUGCAUUGGAAACUGGUAGACUUGAGUGCAGGAGAGGAGAGUGGAAUUCCAUGUGUAGCGGUGAAAUGCGUAGAUAUAUGGAGGAACACCGGUGGCGAAAGCGGCUCUCUGGCCUGUAACUGACACUGAGGCUCGAAAGCGUGGGGAGCAAACAUG
Molecule: ribosomal RNA, 252 nt
Filed under: uncultured bacterium
Lineage: Bacteria
Description: partial 16S ribosomal RNA
Rfam family: Bacterial small subunit ribosomal RNA
Source: RNAcentral